ACGACGCUGGCGGCGUGCUUAACACAUGCAAGUCGAACGAGAGGACAAGAGAAGCUUGCUUCUUUUGGAAUCGAGUGGCAAACGGGUGAGUAACACGUAAACAACCUGCCUUCAGGAUGGGGACAACAGACGGAAACGACUGCUAAUACCGAAUACGCUUGGGAGACCGCAUGAUCUUCCAAGGAAAGGGUGGCCUCUACUUGUAAGCUAUCGCCUGAAGAGGGGUUUGCGUCUGAUUAGGCAGUUGGUGAGGUAACGGCCCACCAAACCUACGAUCAGUAGCCGGUCUGAGAGGAUGAACGGCCACACUGGAACUGAGACACGGUCCAGACUCCUACGGGAGGCAGCAGUGGGGAAUCUUCCGCAAUGGGCGAAAGCCUGACGGAGCAACGCCGCGUGAGUGAUGACGGCCUUCGGGUUGUAAAGCUCUGUGAUCGGGGACGAACGGUCCGUAAGCCAAUACCUUAUGGAAGUGACGGUACCCGAAUAGCAAGCCACGGCUAACUACGUG
This 511-nucleotide ribosomal RNA is filed under the name uncultured bacterium. RNAcentral's name for it is "bacterial SSU rRNA". It matches the Rfam family "Bacterial small subunit ribosomal RNA", at positions 33 to 507 of the family's 1533-position model. The record is from RNAcentral.